CCUACGGGAGGCAGCAGUGGGGAAUUUUGGACAAUGGGGGCAACCCUGAUCCAGCCAUGCCGCGUGCGGGAAGAAGGCCUUCGGGUUGUAAACCGCUUUUGUCGGGGAAGAAACGGUCUGCGCUAAUACCGCGGGCUAAUGACGGUACCCGAAGAAUAAGCACCGGCUAACUACGUGCCAGCAGCCGCGGUAAUACGUAGGGUGCAAGCGUUAAUCGGAAUUACUGGGCGUAAAGCGUGCGCAGGCGGCUUUGCAAGACAGAUGUGAAAUCCCCGGGCUUAACCUGGGAACUGCAUUUGUGACUGCAUGGCUGGAGUGCGGCAGAGGGGGAUGGAAUUCCGCGUGUAGCAGUGAAAUGCGUAGAUAUGCGGAGGAACACCGAUGGCGAAGGCAAUCCCCUGGGCCUGCACUGACGCUCAUGCACGAAAGCGUGGGGAGCAAACAGGAUUAGAUACCCUGGUAGUCCACGCCCUAAACGAUGAUCACUGGGUGUUCGGGGAGCGAUCUCUGAGUACCGUAGCUAACGCGUGAAGUGAUCCGCCUGGGGAGUACGGUCGCAAGAUUAAAACUCAAAGGAAUUGACGGA
RNAcentral lists this ribosomal RNA (586 nucleotides) under uncultured bacterium. RNAcentral describes it as "bacterial SSU rRNA". It matches the Rfam family "Bacterial small subunit ribosomal RNA", at positions 338 to 917 of the family's 1533-position model. The record is from RNAcentral.